This 276-nucleotide ribosomal RNA is filed under the name uncultured bacterium. Its description in RNAcentral is "partial 16S ribosomal RNA". It matches the Rfam family "Bacterial small subunit ribosomal RNA", at positions 82 to 354 of the family's 1533-position model. The record is from RNAcentral.
CCGUUGCCGGCGACCGGCGCACGGGUGAGUAACACGUAUGCAACCUGCCCGUGGCAGGGGGAUAAGCGGGGGAAACCCCGUCUAAUACCGCGUAACGCGGCCUAGGGACAUCCCAAGGCCGCCAAAGGGAGCAAUCCCGGCCACGGAUGGGCAUGCGGCGCAUUAGCUAGUCGGCGGGGUAACGGCCCACCGAGGCGACGAUGCGUAGGGGUUCUGAGAGGAAGGCCCCCCACACUGGUACUGAGACACGGUCCAGACUCCUACGGAAGGCAGCAG